RNAcentral lists this unclassified non-coding RNA (514 nucleotides) under Limosilactobacillus vaginalis. RNAcentral's name for it is "Lactobacillus vaginalis partial contains 16S ribosomal RNA, 16S-23S ribosomal RNA intergenic spacer, and 23S ribosomal RNA". The stretch from base 1 to 194 matches the Rfam family "Bacterial small subunit ribosomal RNA", at positions 1340 to 1533 of the family's 1533-position model. Lineage: Bacteria; Bacillati; Bacillota; Bacilli; Lactobacillales; Lactobacillaceae. The record is from RNAcentral.
AAUCGCGGAUCAGCAUGCCGCGGUGAAUACGUUCCCGGGCCUUGUACACACCGCCCGUCACACCAUGGAAGUUUGCAAUGCCCAAAGUCGGUGGCCUAACCAUUUGGAGGGAACCGCCUAAGGCAGGGCAGAUGACUGGGGUGAAGUCGUAACAAGGUAGCCGUAGGAGAACCUGCGGCUGGAUCACCUCCUUUCUAAGGAAUAAAACGGAAACCUACACAUCGAAGAAACUUUGUUUAGUUUUGAGAGGUUUACUCUCAAGCUUGCACUUUGAAAACUAAAUAAUAUCAAUUUUCUUUAUUAAUUAACAAAACAAACCGAGAACACCGCGUUAUUUUGAGUUUUUUAGAAAUAAUCGCUAACUCAAUUAAUCGGAUAAUCACGAAGUGAUUAUCAAGGUUAAGUUAUGAAGGGCGCAUGGUGAAUGCCUUGGUACUAGGAGCCGAUGAAGGACGGGACUAACACCGAUAUGCUUCGGGGAGCGGUAAGUACGCUUUGAUCCGGAGAUUUCCGA